UACAGAGGGUGCGAGCGUUAAUCGGAAUUACUGGGCGUAAAGAGCUCGUAGGCGGUUUGUUGCGUCGGCUGUGAAAUCCCGAGGCUCAACCUCGGGUCUGCAGUCGAUACGAGCAAACUAGAGUGUUGCAGGGGAGACUGGAAUUCCUGGUGUAGCGGUGAAAUGCGUAGAUAUCGUAAGGAAGACCAGUGGCGAAGGCGGGUCUCUGGACAGUUCCUGACGCUGAGGCACGAAGGCCAGGGGAGCAAACGGG
This 253-nucleotide ribosomal RNA is filed under the name uncultured bacterium. RNAcentral describes it as "partial 16S ribosomal RNA". It matches the Rfam family "Bacterial small subunit ribosomal RNA", at positions 524 to 776 of the family's 1533-position model. The record is from RNAcentral.